GGGGACUGAGUGGUAAGCAACUCCGAGUGUUAGACGGUGAUCGGGCGGCGAUUCCGGGAAAAGCGAGGAAAGACACAGUCUGCGAUUGUGCCGCACCCCCCACCCACCUCUUAGCAUCUGGAUUCUGCUCUCGUAGUGGGGGCCGCGGACCCUCCCCGCCACAGUCCUUUUACUCUCCAGCACUCCCACCGCCUUCCCCCUUCUUCAGCCAUCUGACUCUCCUAGGGGGUCGGCGUGGCGAAGGACGGCUAGCCUUGGAGGGAAAGUAGCCACCAGUCCAACUCGGGUCGCCCCCACCAUUAUUUCGGUGAGGGGGCAACGCUAAGAAGGGGAUACUGGGGGAGUGGCCACAGCAGGUCCUAUCUGGUGGUGAGUGGCUGUCAUGAUCUCUACAGCACCGCUCUACAGCGGCGUGCACAACUGGACCAGUUCUGACCGGAUUCGCAUGUGUGGCAUCAACGAGGAGAGUCACUUCCAGCAGUGGAGCCCUCCCACUUCUGCCAGUCCAACUGCCUUUUAAAGGGAACAAGCCUUUCCCCCUCGGUUAGCCCCUUCUGGAUCCCUGAAAAGAUGGGGAGAGGCCCGUGGUGAUCCCCCUUGCCUUUUUUGCUUCUCUUGCCCCAGAGAGCACCUCUUUCUGAUGAGGAGUCAACGACAGGCGACUGCCAGCACUUUGGAUCUCAGGAGUUUUGUGUCAGCAGCAGUUUUUCCAAGGUGGAGCUCACGGCAGUUGGAAGUGGCAGCAAUGCCCGGGGGGCAGACCCAGAUGGCAGUGCUACAGAAAAACUUGGGCACAAGUCAGAAGACAAGCCUGACGAUCCCCAGCCAAAAAUGGACUACGCUGGGAACGUGGCAGAGGCUGAGGGCCUCUUGGUGCCCCUGAGCAGCCCAGGAGACGGGCUCAAGCUUCCCGCAU
Molecule: long non-coding RNA, 916 nt
Filed under: Homo sapiens (human)
Lineage: Eukaryota; Metazoa; Chordata; Mammalia; Primates; Hominidae
Description: long non-coding RNA NONHSAT138512.2
Source: RNAcentral